AGAGCAAUAGGGAAUGAAGUUCUCCCUAGACAGUGUAUGUCAAAACCGCAAUUAUUUUGCUGAUGACUUCUACCACCAU
RNAcentral lists this non-coding RNA (79 nucleotides) under Enterococcus sp. Its description in RNAcentral is "Fluoride sequence". It matches the Rfam family "Fluoride riboswitch aptamer (crcB RNA motif)". The record is from RNAcentral. RNAcentral also lists the same sequence under 1 other name. Lineage: Bacteria; Bacillati; Bacillota; Bacilli; Lactobacillales; Enterococcaceae.